GUGGGGAAUCUUCCGCAAUGGACGAAAGUCUGACGGAGCAACGCCGCGUGAGUGAAGAAGGUUUUCGGAUCGUAAAGCUCUUUCGUUAGGGACGAACGUGCUCUUUGUGAAUAAUGAGGAGUAAUGACGGUACCUAAAUAAGAAGCCACGGCUAACUACGUGCCAGCAGCCGCGGUAAUACGUAGGUGGCAAGCGUUGUCCGGAAUUAUUGGGCGUAAAGCGCGCGCAGGCGGGAUAUCAAGUCUGUCUUAAAAGUGCGAGGCUCAACCUCGUGAGGGGACAGAAACUGGUAUUCUUGGUUGUCGGAGAGGAAAGUGGAAUUCCAAGUGUAGCGGUGAAAUGCGUAGAGAUUUGGAAGAACACCAGUGGCGAAGGCGACUUUCUGGACGAAAACUGACGCUGAGGCGCGAAAGCCAGGGGAGCGAACGGGAUUAGAAACCCCAGUAGUCC
Molecule: ribosomal RNA, 450 nt
Filed under: uncultured bacterium
Lineage: Bacteria
Description: partial 16S ribosomal RNA
Rfam family: Bacterial small subunit ribosomal RNA
Source: RNAcentral